Molecule: long non-coding RNA, 379 nt
Filed under: Aquilegia coerulea
Lineage: Eukaryota; Viridiplantae; Streptophyta; Magnoliopsida; Ranunculales; Ranunculaceae
Description: long non-coding RNA (ACOE_LNC002124)
Source: RNAcentral
ACAGAGGAACAUUUUGGACGUGGGAUUAUUAUGCCAGACAAUGCAGUUUUCAGGAAAUAAUUUCAUAACAUGCAACCCCAUUUCCUUCAUUCACCUUAAACAGACACAAGCAUGCAACCCCAUUUCCUUCAUUCACCUUAAACAGACACAAGCAUGACAGACAGAAAGAUGGAUUAUCAACAGCUUUUCUGCCACACAAGGGGUUUAAGCAAGGAAAUUAAAGACCUAGAACCAAAUAUGCUAGAUUUCAAAAGACUAAUGCACUGCACUGCACUGCACUGCAACUCAAUAUCAGAUCAUGAAAAUAAGGAUCCCAACAAAAGCAUAACACGUUCAAUUGAAUUUGGUAACAUGAUUCUCAGUUGUAUAGCUGCUAAAC